GAUAAACGCUGGCGGCGUGCUUAACACAUGCAAGUCGAACGAAGUUUUUCCUUCGGGAGCAACUUAGUGGCGGACGGGUGAGUAACGCGUGGGUAACCUGCCCUGUACAGGGGGACAACAGCUGGAAACGGCUGCUAAUACCGCAUAAGCACUUAGCACUGCAUGGUGCAUAGGGAAAAGGAGCAAUCCGGUACAGGAUGGACCCGCGUCUGAUUGGCCAGUUGGCAGGGUAACGGCCUACCAAAGCGACGAUCAGUAGCCGAUCUGAGAGGAUGUACGGCCACAUUGGGACUGAGACACGGCCCAGACUCCUACGGGAGGCAGCAGUGGGGAAUAUUGCACAAUGGAGGAAACUCUGAUGCAGCGACGCCGCGUGAGUGAAGAAGUAUUUCGGUAUGUAAAGCUCUAUCAGCAGGGAAGAAAAUGACGGUACCUGACGAAGAAGCACCGGCUAAAUACGUG
RNAcentral lists this ribosomal RNA (462 nucleotides) under uncultured bacterium. RNAcentral's name for it is "partial 16S ribosomal RNA". It matches the Rfam family "Bacterial small subunit ribosomal RNA", at positions 28 to 507 of the family's 1533-position model. The record is from RNAcentral.